GUGGAUUAAUAAUCGUUGAUUAAUGCACGGACGGCACAACCAUGAGAGGAACUUUCUUACGAAUGACCAGAUAGAAGACCUCGCUCAUGUCCAGGUCCUCGUGUUUUUGUCCAUCAGGCAACUUCCAAUCGAACAAGAAGAGGAGAUUAGCCAACACAUAUUCAACUUCUUUAAGCGCAUAGGAUAUUCCAGGGCAAAGCCUUCUCCCAGAACCAAACGGAAUGUACUCUUUGUGUUGUCCCUUGAAAUCUGCUGGAUUGUCAAUAAACCUCUCAGGGAUAAAAUCAUCAGGCUUUUCCCAUAAUCCUGGAUCCCUUUGAAUUCCCCAUGCGUUGAUCAACACUCUUGUAUUGGGUGGAAUAUCAUACCCUUCCAGCUUUGUGGUCGCAGUUGUUUGUCUUGGAAUCAUUCCCGAAACAUGAUGCCUUAGUGUCUCUUUCACUAUGCAUUUUAGGUAGGUCAUCUGAUCAAGAUCGGAUUCUUCUACUUUCGAUUUGUUUCCUACCACUCUUCUUACCUCUUCUUGGGCUUUCUUCAUUAUGCGUGGGUUUUUCAUCAGCUCUGCCAUCGUCCAAUCCAUGGUUGUUGCAGUAGUAUCAGUUCCCCCAAUAAACAUGUCCAUUAGGACAGCUUUCAUGCUUUCACGAGUG
RNAcentral lists this unclassified non-coding RNA (650 nucleotides) under Hevea brasiliensis (rubber tree). The record is from RNAcentral. Lineage: Eukaryota; Viridiplantae; Streptophyta; Magnoliopsida; Malpighiales; Euphorbiaceae.